UUCGCCUGUUUUUUUCAAAACAUGUCUGUAUGUAGUGUAUAUAGAGUCUGGCCUGCCCACUGAAAAUUUUUAAAGGGCCGCGGUAAUUUGACCGUGCGAAGGUAGCAUAAUCAAUAGUCUCUUAAUUGGAGGCUGGAAUGAAUGGUUGCACAAAAAAUAAUCUGUCUCAGCUGUAGGAGUAGAAUUUUACUUUUGAGUGAAAAGGCUCAAAUAUAUUAAGGGGACGAUAAGACCCUAUAAAACUUUAUAUAAUAAGGUUAAUUUUUGAAUUUUGGUGUUAAAGUGAAUUAGUCUUUAUUUAUUAUGUUGGGGCGACAAGAAUAUAAAUGAGUAACUGUUUGUAAAUUAAAAUAAGUAUGUUUAGAAGUGUGAUCCUUUUUUAGGGAUURAAAGAAAAAGUUACUUUAGGGAUAACAGCGUAAUUUUUUCUGAGAGUUCUUAUCGACGAAAGUAGUUGCGACCUCGAUGUUGAAUUAAGAUUUCCCUGAGGGGUAGAAGUUUCAGUGGUGGGUCUGUUCGACCCUUAAAGUCUUACAUGAUUUGAGUUCAAACCGGUGUGAGCCAGGUUGGGUUUCUAUCUA
RNAcentral lists this ribosomal RNA (581 nucleotides) under Alvinocaris muricola. RNAcentral's name for it is "partial 16S ribosomal RNA". It matches the Rfam family "Bacterial large subunit ribosomal RNA", at positions 1795 to 2644 of the family's 2925-position model. The record is from RNAcentral. Lineage: Eukaryota; Metazoa; Arthropoda; Malacostraca; Decapoda; Alvinocarididae.